Molecule: ribosomal RNA, 465 nt
Filed under: Vreelandella stevensii
Lineage: Bacteria; Pseudomonadati; Pseudomonadota; Gammaproteobacteria; Oceanospirillales; Halomonadaceae
Description: partial 16S ribosomal RNA
Rfam family: Bacterial small subunit ribosomal RNA
Source: RNAcentral
CCUACGUGAGGCAGCAGUGGGGAAUAUUGGACAAUGGGCGAAAGCCUGAUCCAGCCAUGCCGCGUGUGUGAAGAAGGCCUUCGGGUUGUAAAGCACUUUCAGUGGGGAAGAAAGCCUUGGGGCUAAUACCCUCGAGGAAGGACAUCACCCACAGAAGAAGCACCGGCUAACUCCGUGCCAGCAGCCGCGGUAAUACGGAGGGUGCGAGCGUUAAUCGGAAUUACUGGGCGUAAAGCGCGCGUAGGCGGUCUGAUAAGCCGGUUGUGAAAGCCCCGGGCUCAACCUGGGAACGGCAUCCGGAACUGUCAGGCUAGAGUGCAGGAGAGGAAGGUAGAAUUCCCGGUGUAGCGGUGAAAUGCGUAGAGAUCGGGAGGAAUACCAGUGGCGAAGGCGGCCUUCUGGACUGACACUGACGCUGAGGUGCGAAAGCGUGGGUAGCAAACAGGAUUAGAUACCCGAGUAGUU